UUGCAGCACUAUUCUGAUCCAAACAAACACUUUGUAUAAUAUAUAGACAUAGAUGCCUAUAUAUUAAUUAUCUCUCCCAAUUAAUGCCCAAAAUUCCAUAUCCUUUUGCCUUUUCUACCCAUUCUCAUUUAGUCAUUUCAAAAUUUAUUACUACCAACAUAGCUUUAGCUUAGCUUACUUCAAAAAAUUAUGUCAAAACAACUUGGACAAUUCCUUCAAGAACAACAAGAACCAUUUACCUUACAAAUCUAUCUUCUUGAAAGAGGUCAAUUUAAAAACAAACAUCUUAUUUCGGAUCGCGAUUUUCGAUGUUGUUCUACAGAUUCUAGUACUUAUUUGUUCUUGAAGAGAUCAGCUAGUUGUGGUGCAAAGAAGAGAAGGAAACAGAUUCUUAAUUGUUCAAAGAUUGUGAAAUCUGUGUUUAAUAAAGUUGUUACAUUUAGCCAUAAUCAAAAAAUAAAGAAUUUGGCAAAUGAUCAAGAACACAACAAUUCUACAAGCAAAAAUAGUAAUGUUAUUGCAAAUGAUGAGAAAAUUUCUUCAACAAGUAGUAGGACUGUGUUCAAUUCUUGUUAUGAUUCUAGUGAUGCAUAUGGCAACUUUCUACAUGAAAAACAGAUUGGUUGUUGAUAAGGUAACAGGUUUUUGAAGAGAGAAGAAAGUUAAGGUUGGAAUUUCUUGAAGAAAGUAAGCAACUCAGUCCUGUGUCAGUUCUAGAAGAAACUGAAUCUUCUGAUGAUGAUGAUUCUCCACAUGUUAAAAAACAAGAAUGUGUCAAGGCAAAGAAACAAGAGGAAUUUCCAAGUCAAUCAGUUUCAAAUUCAGAAGAAACAAGCCACGAGUCUCAGUACAUUAAGAACAAGAAAGCAAUACAAGAAUCAAGACAACUCCUUUUUGAUUGUGUUAAAGAAGUGGUGGAAAAUCAAAAAGGGAAAGAAGAAGAAUUUCAAAGAAUUUUAGGAGCUGAGCAACUAUGGGAGCUUCUAUUACAAAAUAUUUGGUUAUGGAGCCAAGAAUCCAUAAAUGAAACUAAUAUCAAACAAUUAAUUCCCAUUUCUAGUAUGUUGAGUUCUUUUGAAGAGUCAAGUGGAGUUGAGGAGAAAAGGGAAAUAGGUAAGGUGGUUGGUGAUUUAAUUUUUGUUGAUAUUAGUAAUGAGAUUGUAUUAGAUAUGUUAAAUUAUUCUUCUUUAAGAUGAA
Molecule: RNA transcript, 1197 nt
Organism: Solanum tuberosum (potato)
Lineage: Eukaryota; Viridiplantae; Streptophyta; Magnoliopsida; Solanales; Solanaceae
Exons: 3
Source: RefSeq, a predicted model, not a curated record